GAUGAACGCUGGCGGCGUGCCUAAUACAUGCAAGUCGAGCGAAUGGAUCAAGAGCUUGCUCUUAUGAAGUUAGUGGCGGACGGGUGAGUAACACGUGGGUAACCUGCCCAUAAGACUGGGAUAACUCCGGGAAACCGGGGCUAAUACCGGAUAACAUUUUGAACCGCAUGGUUCGAAAUUGAAAGGCGGCUUCGGCUGUCACUUCUGGAUGGACCCGCGUCGCAUUAGCUAGUUGGUGAGGUAACGGCUCACCAAGGCAACGAUGCGUAGCCGACCUGAGAGGGUGAUCGGCCACACUGGGACUGAGACACGGCCCAGACUCCUACGGGAGGCAGCAGUAGGGAAUCUUCCGCAAUGGACGAAAGUCUGACGGAGCAACGCCGCGUGAGUGAUGAAGGCUUUCGGGUCGUAAAACUCUGUUGUUAGGGAAGAACAAGUGCUAGUUGAAUAAGCUGGCACCUUGACGGUACCUAACCAGAGAGCCACGGCUAACUACGUGCCAGCCGCCGCAGUAA
Molecule: ribosomal RNA, 515 nt
Filed under: uncultured bacterium
Lineage: Bacteria
Description: partial 16S ribosomal RNA
Rfam family: Bacterial small subunit ribosomal RNA
Source: RNAcentral